This 459-nucleotide ribosomal RNA is filed under the name uncultured bacterium. RNAcentral's name for it is "partial 16S ribosomal RNA". It matches the Rfam family "Bacterial small subunit ribosomal RNA", at positions 339 to 795 of the family's 1533-position model. The record is from RNAcentral.
CUACGGGGUGCAGCAGUGAGGAAUAUUGGGCAAUGGAGGCAACUCUGACCCAGCCAUGCCGCGUGCAGGAAGACGGCCCUCUGGGUUGUAAACUGCUUUUGUUUGGGAAUAAACCCUUCUACGUGUAGAAGGCUGAAGGUACCUUACGAAUAAGGAUCGGCUAACUCCGUGCCAGCAGCCGCGGUAAUACGGAGGAUCCAAGCGUUAUCCGGAUUUAUUGGGUUUAAAGGGUCCGUAGGCGGAUCUUUAAGUCAGUGGUGAAAGCCCACAGCUCAACUGUGGAACUGCCAUUGAUACUGGAGAUCUUGAGUGUAGUAGAAGUAGGCGGAAUAGGGCAUGUAGCGGUGAAAUGCAUAGAUAUGCCCUAGAACACCGAUUGCGAAGGCAGCUUACUAUGUUACAACUGACGCUGAGGGACGAAAGCGUGGGGAGCAAACAGGAUUAGAUACCCUAGUAGUC